UUAAAUUUCUCUUCUGGUCUGCAGAGAAAAAAAUCAUCAUCAUCUGAUUCCUCCGACUCUGACUCUUCUUCGGGGGACUCUGACGCUAGCGAAGGUCGGCCCCUUUUCUG
Molecule: non-coding RNA, 110 nt
Filed under: uncultured eukaryote
Lineage: Eukaryota
Source: RNAcentral